AGCAGCCGCGGUAAUUCCAGCUCCAAUAGCGUAUAUUAAAGUUGUUGCAGUUAAAAAGCUCGUAGUUGAAUUUCGGGAUUAGUAAGUUGGUCGUGCCUCUGGUAUGUACUGGCUUUACUGGUUCCUCCUUCUUGAAGAACUGUAAUGUCAUUAAUUUGGUGUUGCAGGGAAACAGGACUGUUACUUUGAAAAAAUUAGAGUGUUUAAAGCAGGCUAACGCUUGAAUACAUUAGCAUGGAAUAAUGAAAUAGGACGUUUGAUCCUAUUUUGUUGGUUUCUAGGAUUGACGUAAUGAUUAAUAGGGAUAGUUGGGGGCAUUAGUAUUCAAUUGUCAGAGGUGAAAUUCUUGGAUUUAUUGAAGACUAACUACUGCGAAAGCAUUUGCCAAGGGUGUUUUCAUUAAUCAAGAACGAAAGUUAGGGGAUCGAAGACGAUCAGAUACCGUCGUAGUCUUAACCAUAAACUAUGCCGACUAGGGAUCGGAUGAUGUAAUUUUUAAUGACUCAUUCGGCGCCUUACG
RNAcentral lists this ribosomal RNA (520 nucleotides) under uncultured Glomeromycotina. RNAcentral's name for it is "SSU rRNA". It matches the Rfam family "Eukaryotic small subunit ribosomal RNA", at positions 569 to 1092 of the family's 1831-position model. The record is from RNAcentral. Lineage: Eukaryota; Fungi; Glomeromycota.